GCUGGGUGCGGUGGCUCAUGCCUGUAGUUCCAGCUAUUCGGGAAGCUGAGGUGGGAGGAUUGCUUGAGCCCAGGAGUUCUGGGCUGUAGUGCGCUAUGCCGAUCGGGUGUCUGCACUAAGUUCAGCAUCAAUAUGGUGAUUUCUGGGAGCAGGGGACCACCAGGUUACCUAAGGAGGGGUGAACCAGCCCAGGUCAGAAAUGGAGCAGGUCAAAACUCCCGUGCUGAUCAGUAGUGGGAUCAUGCCUGUGAAUAGCUACUGCACUCCAGCCUGGGCAACAUACUGAGACCCCAUCUCUA
Callithrix jacchus (white-tufted-ear marmoset) is the source of this 299-nucleotide unclassified non-coding RNA. It matches the Rfam family "Metazoan signal recognition particle RNA". From Rfam's summary of the family: The signal recognition particle (SRP) is a universally conserved ribonucleoprotein. It is involved in the co-translational targeting of proteins to membranes. The record is from Ensembl. Lineage: Eukaryota; Metazoa; Chordata; Mammalia; Primates; Cebidae.